Molecule: ribosomal RNA, 117 nt
Filed under: Candidatus Woesearchaeota archaeon
Lineage: Archaea; Nanobdellati; Candidatus Woesearchaeota
Source: RNAcentral
UUGGACGACCAUGGCGGUUUGGUUCUACCCGUUCCCAUCCCGAACACGGAAGUCAAGCAAACCUACGUUCCAAGUUGUACUGCACUUUGCUGUGGGAACCUUGGUUAGUUGUCCGCC